This 498-nucleotide ribosomal RNA is filed under the name uncultured bacterium. RNAcentral's name for it is "bacterial SSU rRNA". It matches the Rfam family "Bacterial small subunit ribosomal RNA", at positions 28 to 517 of the family's 1533-position model. The record is from RNAcentral.
GAUGAACGCUAGCGGCAGGCUUAACACAUGCAAGUCGAGGGGCAGCAUGAAGGUUAGCAAUAACUUUUGAUGGCGACCGGCGCAAGGGUGCGUAACGCGUGAGCAACUUGCCCGUUUCAGGGGGAUAACCGGUGGAAACGCCGACUAAUACCCCAUGGUAUUGACCUUAGGCAUCUUCGGUCAAUUAAAGAGUUUCGGAAACGGAUAGGCUCGCGUGACAUUAGCUAGAUGGCGGGGUAACGGCCCACCAUGGCGACGAUGUCUAGGGGUUCUGAGAGGAAGGUCCCCCACACUGGAACUGAGACACGGUCCAGACUCCUACGGGAGGCAGCAGUGAGGAAUAUUGGUCAAUGGUCAGACGACUGAACCAGCCAUGCCGCGUGAAGGUCACGGCCCUAUGGGUCUUAAACUUCUUUUGCAAGGGAGCAAUAAGUCCCACGUGUGGGAUGAUGAGAGUACCUUGCGAAUAAGCAUCGGCUAACUCCGUGCCAGCAGCCG